GUGCCAGCAGCCGCGGUAAUACGGGGGGGGCAAGCGUUGUUCGGAAUUACUGGGCGUAAAGGGCGCGUAGGCGGCUUUUCAAGUCGGGCGUGAAAUCUCCGGGCUUAACCCGGAAGGGUCGUUCGAUACUGUUGAGCUAGAGUGUGGAAGAGGCAACUAGAAUUCCGUGUGUAGCGGUGAAAUGCGUAGAUAUACGGAGGAAUACCUGAGGCGAAGGCGGGUUGCUGGGCCAACACUGACGCUGAGGCGCGAAAGCCAGGGGAGCAAACGGGAUUAGAUACCCCCGUAGUCC
Molecule: ribosomal RNA, 292 nt
Filed under: uncultured bacterium
Lineage: Bacteria
Description: partial 16S ribosomal RNA
Rfam family: Bacterial small subunit ribosomal RNA
Source: RNAcentral